UGGGGAAUUUUGGACAAUGGGCGCAAGCCUGAUCCAGCCAUGCCGCGUGAGUGAAGAAGGCCUUCGGGUUGUAAAGCUCUUUCGGCGGGGAAGAAAUCGCAUUCUCUAAUACAGGAUGUGGAUGACGGUACCCGAAUAAGAAGCACCGGCUAACUACGUGCCAGCAGCCGCGGUAAUACGUAGGGUGCGAGCGUUAAUCGGAAUUACUGGGCGUAAAGCGUGCGCGGGCGGUUUCGUAAGACAGACGUGAAAUCCCCGGGCUCAACCUGGGAACUGCGUUUGUGACUGCGAGGCUAGAGUUUGACAGAGGGGGGUGGAAUUCCACGUGUAGCAGUGAAAUGCGUAGAGGUGUGGAGGAACACCGAUGGCGAAGGCAGCCCCCUGGGCCAAUACUGACGCUCAUGCACGAAAGCGUGGGGAGCAAACA
RNAcentral lists this ribosomal RNA (427 nucleotides) under uncultured bacterium. RNAcentral describes it as "bacterial SSU rRNA". It matches the Rfam family "Bacterial small subunit ribosomal RNA", at positions 355 to 774 of the family's 1533-position model. The record is from RNAcentral.